UUGACCUCGGAUCAGGUAGGGAUACCCGCUGAACUUAAGCAUAAGAUAAGGG
Molecule: ribosomal RNA, 52 nt
Filed under: ascomycete sp. ZGZII04004
Lineage: Eukaryota; Fungi; Ascomycota
Description: partial 28S ribosomal RNA
Source: RNAcentral